UUAUUCUUCCUUUUUUCUUCCCAUUUCUCUCUUGAGGUAAACUAGGGCUGCCGAAGAGGCGACUCCAUUGUCGUCUUAUCUUCAACCUUCUUUACUAACUACAACCCCCACCUAUCCACAUCACCACCAUCAUCUCCAGUUUUUGUUGUUUGCUGAUAAUCAAAUGGAGCCCACAGUUGUAACUUUGGAUUCAGAUGUAAUUAUGGAUGUCGAGCAAUCAACCCCUGCUUCAAUUGUGAUGUCCUAGGUCCCGUGACUGCAGAAGAUUGAUAGAGGGAGCUAAUGACAGCUAAUGGUGUUCGAUGAAUGGUGCUACUUGGAAGCACCUCUGGAAUAAUCUAUCUUAUUGGAGUUUUCACUUCCACAUUAGCUGAAGAAUACUUGGACUUUGCAUAUUAGUUGAAGAAUAAAACCUUAGUGAUAUCGUUCGUUCAUUCUUUAUUCAUUCAUUCUUUAUUCUUACAGAAGUAUCAAAACAGUUGAAGAAACUAGUUUUCUUUUAGUUUUGCUUUCAAUUUGCUGAAGCUUAUUAUCAGUUUAGUUGGAUAUUUUUCAGUUAAGACUAUUGAAUUGAUUAUUAUUCUUAUUAGCAAAUUUAGUUUUACUGUUGCAGAGA
Papaver somniferum (opium poppy) is the source of this 616-nucleotide long non-coding RNA. RefSeq lists it as uncharacterized. NCBI's taxonomy places the organism in Eukaryota, Viridiplantae, Streptophyta, Magnoliopsida, Ranunculales, Papaveraceae. The transcript is spliced from 4 exons. The record is from RefSeq and is a predicted model, not a curated record.